GGGUUUCGCGGCGCUCGCCGCACUGGUUGUUCAGCACCUUCGGUCCGGUUGAGGUUGUCAAGUCGGACCAAACAGGUUGUUUCUCUGCAGUUUCCAACAUGGCAGGGAGGUUUAAUAGACAUGGAUAAGAAGUCCACUCACAGAAAUCCUGAAGAUGCCAGGGCUGGCAAAUAUGAAGGAAGCCAGACAGAUUCAAGUAUUGAAGAUGCUGCCAAGGGAAAAAUUAAGAAGAAGAGAAGAGAGAAAACAAAUAAAUGGGAAAAAAGAAAGGACAAAAUAUGAAACACCAAGAAAAAGAGAAGGAAAAAAAGGAGGAAACAACCACAUAUGUCACCUUUCCAAGAGGGACUGAAACUGGGCUGACCCUUUUGAUUUCCAAGCUCAGCGUUUUGGUGUAAGGCGGCCAAAGAAGGAUGCGGAGCCCAGCACUGUGAAGCCUACAAAAACAUUGAUGCGCUGGCUUGGGGAUUUGAAUUUGAACAUCUUUCACACUAAGUUCAGACUCAUGAAACCAAUCUUCAGAUGCUCUGUAAACCACAUAAUAAAGAGUUUGGAAA
Molecule: long non-coding RNA, 557 nt
Filed under: Homo sapiens (human)
Lineage: Eukaryota; Metazoa; Chordata; Mammalia; Primates; Hominidae
Description: HSALNT0298015
Source: RNAcentral